This 29-nucleotide transfer RNA is filed under the name Pionopsitta pileata (Pileated parrot). Its description in RNAcentral is "partial tRNA-Glu". The record is from RNAcentral. Lineage: Eukaryota; Metazoa; Chordata; Aves; Psittaciformes; Psittacidae.
GUUCUUAUGGUUGAGGUAUCAACGAUGGU